AAACUAAAGUCCCAGUUCGGAUUGCAGGCUGCAACCCGCCUGCAUGAAGCCGGAAUCGCUAGUAAUCGCGGAUCAGAAUGCCGCGGUGAAUACGUUCCCGGGUCUUGUACACACCGCCCGUCACACCAUGGGAGUCGAUAACGCCCGAAGUCAGUGACCCAACCGAAAGGAGGGAGCUGCCGAAGGCGGGAUGGAUAACUGGGGUGAAGUCGUAACAAGGUAGC
This 224-nucleotide ribosomal RNA is filed under the name uncultured bacterium. RNAcentral's name for it is "partial 16S ribosomal RNA". It matches the Rfam family "Bacterial small subunit ribosomal RNA", at positions 1277 to 1500 of the family's 1533-position model. The record is from RNAcentral.